This 204-nucleotide unclassified non-coding RNA is filed under the name Hevea brasiliensis (rubber tree). The record is from RNAcentral. Lineage: Eukaryota; Viridiplantae; Streptophyta; Magnoliopsida; Malpighiales; Euphorbiaceae.
CAUUUCAACUGGCAUACAGUUUGGAUUUUUGGGUUGUCUGAGUACUGUUUCAACUUUCAUAGCUGAAUACAAUGCCAUGGAAGAAAGUAAUAAAACUUGGGNAUGCUUAUGCUCUAAUAACAAUACUCAUGUCAUUUGGCUUGGGGAUCCUGAUAUACUCCGUACCUGUUUGGACUAAGGGAUAUGACUGACAUAUGCUACGGC